UAAACCUUGUUAUUGCUAGAACACCCCGAUGAUAGGAUAGUAUAGAGAUAAUACCACAACCAAUCUCUACUUCAGUGACAUAAUUGAUGAAUGAUGCGUUUGGAAAUUAAAACAAUUUAAUUUAAAAAAAAAAUAUAGGCGUGAGAAGUUGAAGCAGCAAACCUGGGAGUGUCAAAGUUUUGCAAUUAUAAAGAUUAGACCCAAUCAAGAUUAGAGAAAAAAAUUGUCAAUCAUUCGCAUCUGAGAUUAUGAUUCAAUAGCAGCCCACUGUUGUGUGAGGUCAUAUUGGUUUGGGUAAAAUAUAAAAGAAAGUUUAGACAGGACUGUAUACCUGCAUGCAUAAACAUACAAACCAUGCUAUUGCUAGAACAUCUCGAUAGUACUGUUGUACAGAGAUAAGUACCAAGUAGCUACAUUAGCCGUAAGACACAGACACCAACCUGAUGUUGAAGACUAUGGGAGCGAUGCUGCUCCACUGUCUGAAAGGGAAUUUUUGCGGGAGCACGUGAAGUCAUUGAGAGGCGGCGCCGUCAUCGCAUUCUGUGCAGAAAGGAGGUGGUGGAGGUCGUCCUUCAGAAGACGGAGUCGUCGAGGUGGCCGGGGUUGGGUGCCUAAAGUCUGCAGCGUGGUGGUCCUGCACCAGAUCUCCCUCUCCCCUACCUCCGCCGCCCCCACCCCUCACCAUCUCCCCCAGAUCAGAUCAAGC
Molecule: long non-coding RNA, 706 nt
Filed under: Triticum aestivum (bread wheat)
Lineage: Eukaryota; Viridiplantae; Streptophyta; Magnoliopsida; Poales; Poaceae
Description: long non-coding RNA (TAES_LNC003506)
Source: RNAcentral